AGCUCCAAUAGCGUAUAUUAAAGUUGUUGCAGUUAAAAAGCUCGUAGUUUAAAGGGGGUAUAGGAGAUGUAAUAGACUUUUCACUACAAAAAGCAUCCUAGUACUCUUAGUCCUAAAGGGAUUGCACUUGUUGUCUGAGUAACCUGCUGUUGCCAUCCUUGGGUGGAACCUGUGUGGCAUUAGGUUGUCGUGCAGGGGAUGUCCAUCAUUUACUGUGAAAAAAUUAGAGUGUUCAAAGCAGGCUUAUGCCGUUGAAUAUAUUAGCAUGGAAUAAUGAGAUAGGACUUUUUUGCUAUUUUGUUGGUUUGCGCAAAGAGGUAAUCAUUAAUAGGGACAGUUGGGGGUAUUCGUAUUCCAUUGUCAGAGGUGAAAUUCUUGGAUUUUUGGAAGACGAACUACU
Molecule: ribosomal RNA, 400 nt
Filed under: phytoplankton environmental sample
Lineage: Eukaryota
Description: partial small subunit ribosomal RNA
Rfam family: Eukaryotic small subunit ribosomal RNA
Source: RNAcentral